This 253-nucleotide ribosomal RNA is filed under the name uncultured archaeon. Its description in RNAcentral is "partial 16S ribosomal RNA". It matches the Rfam family "Archaeal small subunit ribosomal RNA", at positions 474 to 727 of the family's 1478-position model. The record is from RNAcentral.
AACCAGCACCUCAAGUGGUCAGGAGGAUUAUUGGGCCUAAAGCAUCCGUAGCCGGCUCUGUAAGUUUUCGGUUAAAUCCAUGUGCUCAACGCAUAGGCUGCCGAAAAUACUGCAUAGCUAGGGAGUGGGAGAGGUAGACGGUACUCAGUAGGAAGGGGUAAAAUCCUUUGAUCUAUUGAUGACCACCUGUGGCGAAGGCGGUCUACCAGAACACGUUCGACGGUGAGGGAUGAAAGCUGGGGGAGCAAACCGG